GCAGUGGGGGCGUGCUUACCUGCAAGUCGAGCGCUGAAGCCUUCGGGUGGAUGAGCGGCGAACGGGUGAGAAACACGUGGGUGACCUGCCCUCAGCUCUGGGAUAAGCCUGGGAAACUGGGUCUAAUACCGGAUAUGACUUCCUGCCGCAUGGUGGGUUGUGGAAAGUUUUUCGGCUGAGGAUGGGCCCGCGGCCUAUCAGCUUGUUGGUGGGGUGAUGGCCUACCAAGGCGACGACGGGUAGCCGGCCUGAGAGGGCGACCGGCCACACUGGGACUGAGACACGGCCCAGACUCCUACGGGAGGCAGCAGUGGGGAAUAUUGCGCAAUGGGCGAAAGCCUGACGCAGCGACGCCGCGUGGGGGAUGACGGCCUUCGGGUUGUAAACCUCUUUCGCCAGGGACGAAGCUAACGUGACGGUACCUGGAUAAGAAGCACCGGCCAACUACGUGCCAGCAGCCGCGGUAAUACGUAGGGUGCGAGCGUUGUCCGGAAUUAUUGGGCGUAAAGAGCUCGUAGGCGGUGUGUCACGUCGGUCGUGAAAACCUGGGGCUUAACUCUGGGCUUGCGGUCGAUACGGGCAUCACUUGAGUUCGGCAGGGGAGACUGGAAUUCCUGGUGUAGCGGUGAAAUGCGUAGAA
RNAcentral lists this ribosomal RNA (640 nucleotides) under bacterium EK-I79. Its description in RNAcentral is "bacterial SSU rRNA". It matches the Rfam family "Bacterial small subunit ribosomal RNA", at positions 35 to 695 of the family's 1533-position model. The record is from RNAcentral.